CCUACGGGUGGCAGCAGUGGGGGAUAUUGCACAAUGGGGGGAACCCUGAUGCAGCGACGCCGCGUGGGUGAAGAAGCGCCUCGGCGCGUAAAGCCCUGUCAGCAGGGAAGAAAAUGACGGUACCUGAAGAAGAAGCCCCGGCUAAAUACGUGCCAGCAGCCGCGGUAUUACGUAGGGGGCAAGCGUUAUCCGGAUUUACUGGGUGUAAAGGGGGCGCAGACGGCGAUGCAAGCCAGGAGUGAAAGCCCGGGGGCCAACCCCGGGACUGCUCUUGGAACUGCGUGGCUGGAGUGCAGGAGGGGCAGGCGGAAUUCCUGGUGUAGCGGUGAAAUGCGUAGAUAUCAGGAGGAACACCGGUGGCGAAGGCGGCCUGCUGGACUGCAACUGACGUUGAGGCCCGAAAGCGUGGGGAGCAAACAGGAUUAGAUACCCCAGUAGUC
RNAcentral lists this ribosomal RNA (440 nucleotides) under uncultured bacterium. RNAcentral describes it as "partial 16S ribosomal RNA". It matches the Rfam family "Bacterial small subunit ribosomal RNA", at positions 338 to 795 of the family's 1533-position model. The record is from RNAcentral.